Molecule: long non-coding RNA, 904 nt
Organism: Carlito syrichta (Philippine tarsier)
Lineage: Eukaryota; Metazoa; Chordata; Mammalia; Primates; Tarsiidae
Exons: 3
Source: RefSeq, a predicted model, not a curated record
CAGUGUGCAGAAAGCGGCUGAAACUGCUGUACUGCCCAACUCCACACAUGGCUCGAGCCAAAAACCCCCAGCCCAGAGUGACUCGGAGGUUUCUGCAGACCCAGUACCAACCUGCUUCCCCGAUCCUGGCUGGGCCUUCCCAGGAGAGACAGAGGGCCCGGUCCCCGUCGGCCAGAUGGGGUCUUACUUGGUUGCCUCGGCGGGACUGCAGUGGCUCUUCAAAGGCAAGUCCGCAGUGACUGCAGCUUGGAGCCCCGGAGCUCAAGUGGUCCUCCUGCCUCAGCUUCCUGAGUCGCUAGGAUUACAGUUGUUGCUAGUUUGAUUCCAAGGAAGGACCAGACACCCUCGCCUCCGUGCUCUCGCCUGUGAACAUCUGUUCCGCCCUUCCUCUUCAGAGCAGGAACAAUGUGGUUUUGGAAACUGAUUCCAGCUCCAGCCUAAGCCAGUCACGAUAAUUCCACUCCUCUGCCAGGAAUUAUUUAGAAAGCCAGGUUUAAUGCCAGGCGUGGCAUUUCCCUGUGACAGUUCUUGCUUCGGGGUGAGUACAUACACUAAAUUACUCCAGUCAGACUGAAGGGGGAUUUUAAUUCCACAGUUAAAUGAAAGACUCUCUCCCCCUUGUCCUGAAAGCUGUCCCAGUUAACAGCCUCUGUAAGAAUAAAGCCCUCAGGUAGAGGAGGCAGGCAGAGAAAACUGCCAGGCCUCCCUUCUGAGUCUCCACUCCAAGAGCAGCAAAAUCCCUUCGCGUUCAAGCCCUCUUGAGACAAACUUCUUACGUCUUGCUGCCAAAGUAUAUUAACUUUUCCCUAAUCUUUCCCUUCUUGACUCUGAUCUCAACAAUUCACACAAAUUAGCUAGGUGCUAGAAAUUUCCUUAAGCUAGGGGGUUGAAGUCUCAGAACCAU